This 470-nucleotide ribosomal RNA is filed under the name uncultured bacterium. Its description in RNAcentral is "bacterial SSU rRNA". It matches the Rfam family "Bacterial small subunit ribosomal RNA", at positions 336 to 797 of the family's 1533-position model. The record is from RNAcentral.
UUCCUACGGGGGGCUGCAGUGGGGAAUAUUGCGCAAUGGGGGAAACCCUGACGCAGCGACGCCGUGUGAGGGAAGAAGGCCUUCGGGUCGUAAACCUCUGUCGGGAGGGAAGAACCGCCAGGUUUCGAACAGAGACCUGGCCUGACGGUACCUCUAGAGGAAGCGCCGGCUAACUCCGUGCCAGCAGCCGCGGUAAUACGGAGGGCGCAAGCGUUAAUCGGAAUACCUGGGCGUAAAGCGCACGUAGGCGGCGGGAUAAGUCGGGCGUGAAAGCCCUCGGCCCAACCGAGGAAUUGCGUUCGAUACUGUUUGGCUUGAGUCCUGGAGAGGGUGGCGGAAUUCCGGGUGUAGGAGUGAAAUCCGUAGAUAUCCGGAGGAACACCGGUGGCGAAGGCGGCCACCUGGACAGGUACUGACGCUGAGGUGCGAAAGCGUGGGGAGCAAACAGGAUUAGAUACCCGUGUAGUCUG